CAGUAGCGUAUAUUAAAGUUGUUGCAGUUAAAAAGCUCGUAGUUGAAGCUCUGUCGUUCGGACUCGUGCGCUUCGGCAAAGGAGUCUGCGCGACAUCCAUCUGAGCAACGGCCCUGGCAUUCAUUUGUCGCGGUCGGGAUCAGAUACUUUACCUUGAGCAAAUUAGAGUGUUCCAGGCAGGCUUUGGCCUGAAUAGUCCAGCAUGGAAUAAUAGAAGAGGACUGAGUGUCAUUUAUUGGUGUUAUGGCAUUUAGUAAUGAUUAAUAGGGAUAGUUGGGGGCAUUCGUACUUAAUUGUCAGAGGUGAAAUUCUAUGAUUUAUUAAAGACGAACUUAUGCGAAAGCAUUUGCCAAGGAUGUUUUCAUUAAUCAAGAACGAAAGUUAAGGGAU
This 390-nucleotide ribosomal RNA is filed under the name Stentor sp. RNAcentral describes it as "SSU rRNA". It matches the Rfam family "Eukaryotic small subunit ribosomal RNA", at positions 592 to 998 of the family's 1831-position model. Lineage: Eukaryota; Ciliophora; Heterotrichea; Heterotrichida; Stentoridae. The record is from RNAcentral.